Glycine soja is the source of this 1747-nucleotide long non-coding RNA. RefSeq lists it as uncharacterized. The transcript has 3 exons. The record is from RefSeq and is a predicted model, not a curated record. Lineage: Eukaryota; Viridiplantae; Streptophyta; Magnoliopsida; Fabales; Fabaceae.
UCUAGUCACAAAAAUAAAGUCACUAACUCAAACUGGCUUAUUUCAUUACCCUCUGAAAUUCAGUUUUCACGAUUUAGUUCAAACUUCUUUUUUUUCACUAUUCACUGCACCGUGAAAACCCUCUUCACUAAUCUUUGACGCCUCAGAAACCCUUUUCACCACCAACCUUGCUUUUCAAUCUCCUUCUUUGCCGCCUUCAAAUUCCUAAGGCUUUUCUGGUGCGUCGCCAUCAGUGGCUCCGACCUCGACACUUGCAUCGUUCUAAUCCCCAUCAGCUUCAAGUCUCCCACAUUGCUUGAUUUCAACGCGUGGUUUUCAAGAAGGAGAAGAUUAACCUCAUUGGACACAACGAGGUUUUCAAUUCCAAAUUGCAAUCUCGAGUGAACUUCGUGAGUUCUAGGGUUCCCUAAUGUCAUUGACCAAGCUGAAUUAACCAUCGAACAAGUAGUCCCGAUCCGUUUUCUUUAUGUUUCUUUCUUCAUUCCUCGAUCUAAUUGCAAAAUUCCAAUUGUGCUCGAUUCCAUUUUGAUUUAGUUGUCAUGAAUUUUAAUGUCAUUGAUCAUGGAUGUAGAUUAAAUUAUGAUUCUUUCAAAUCUCAUUGUUAAUUACUAAUCAACUUGUUGUUUAAUUGAUCAGUAUAGCUUAAUUUUUUAAUACUCAGACCUAAUGUUUAGGAACCUUGAUUUUUUUUGUGAACCAACGUAGUUCUAGUUAUUCUAUUCACUCCUUUUGGUGACAGGAGAUUCUCCUCUUCUCUGGCGGGAAACCUCAAGGCUAAGCUUCAUUAAUCAUGUGUUUAAAUCUAAUAGUAGUAAAAUCAUCAUACACAUUUACAUAGGAAUGAGGAAGAACUAUUUAUACAUUGGACCAUGGAGGGACUAAUUCUCAUUUUUCAGGUGUUACGUCUGCAAUUGGAGGCAAGGAUGGUGCUAUUAUUAAUCAAGAAUUUAUUGAGGUAUCAAUUCCUCCUAAUUUGAUAGUUGGGGCAUCAGAUGUAAGUUUCUCCAUAAAUUUGAAUUUACAAUUGCUUCAUAAAUUAAUAUUAUAAUACCAUAACGCAUUAAUGUGGAAGUAGUUUACACUUAGUGUAGAAAAUUAGUUUUGUUGUAUUAAACAAGUUGGUCAUGAUGACAUGCAUGAUAAAUUAUACUCUAUUGCUAUCAUUCCCUAAAGUUAUAACUUCAGUUGCAUAAUAGAGAAAUCCUUCAAUCUGAAUUUGAUUAAUGGAUUGCAAGAAUUGUUUAGUGAGGAAUUGUCAUCAAAUAUUGACCAAGAAGAUGCAAAAUCAGAUUUGUUUGAAGUGCAGAAGCAGAACAAUGCCUUCAAACUGGUAGAAAAAAUCAAGUGCUUUCUAAAACAAAUGCUUCAAUUCACGCUGGAAAUCGUGAGAAUUGGUAUGUGGCCCAAAAAAGUGAAGAACAACCUAAGAUACUUAAGUUACAUUCUUCGAUGGUUUGCGAAAUUAUGCACGUUAUUGCAAGUUUAAAGUGCAGGGUGUACUAAGAAAUGUUGAUUUUAAUAAUCUUACAAAUGUAAUUUGCUCUCUAAGCUUUGAUUAGAAUGCAGAUUACUUUGCUUCAGCUGGGAUAUCUAAGAAAAUAUUUAUAUUUUGAGUUUGGUGAACUUUGCAAUGACUCUGUUGAUAUAUUAUUAUGUAGUUGAGAUGUUAACUAGAUCGAAACUCAGUUGUGUUUGCUGGAAUAAUGUAUUUUUUUAUACAAUGAAAAGAAAUUUACAUUGAUUUCGA